RNAcentral lists this ribosomal RNA (860 nucleotides) under Staphylococcus pseudintermedius. Its description in RNAcentral is "bacterial SSU rRNA". It matches the Rfam family "Bacterial small subunit ribosomal RNA", at positions 33 to 874 of the family's 1533-position model. Lineage: Bacteria; Bacillati; Bacillota; Bacilli; Caryophanales; Staphylococcaceae. The record is from RNAcentral.
ACGCUGGCGGCGUGCCUAAUACAUGCAAGUCGAGCGAACAGAUAAGGAGCUUGCUCCUUUGACGUUAGCGGCGGACGGGUGAGUAACACGUGGGUAACCUACCUAUAAGACUGGAAUAACUCCGGGAAACCGGGGCUAAUGCCGGAUAACAUGUUGAACCGCAUGGUUCUACAGUGAAAGACGGUCUUGCUGUCACUUAUAGAUGGACCCGCGCCGUAUUAGCUAGUUGGUGGGGUAACGGCCUACCAAGGCGACGAUACGUAGCCGACCUGAGAGGGUGAUCGGCCACACUGGAACUGAGACACGGUCCAGACUCCUACGGGAGGCAGCAGUAGGGAAUCUUCCGCAAUGGGCGAAAGCCUGACGGAGCAACGCCGCGUGAGUGAUGAAGGUCUUCGGAUCGUAAAGCUCUGUUGUUAGGGAAGAACAAAUGUGUAAGUAACUGUGCACAUCUUGACGGUACCUAACCAGAAAGCCACGGCUAACUACGUGCCAGCAGCCGCGGUAAUACGUAGGUGGCAAGCGUUAUCCGGAAUUAUUGGGCGUAAAGCGCGCGUAGGCGGUUUUUUAAGUCUGAUGUGAAAGCCCACGGCUCAACCGUGGAGGGUCAUUGGAAACUGGAAAACUUGAGUGCAGAAGAGGAAAGUGGAAUUCCAUGUGUAGCGGUGAAAUGCGCAGAGAUAUGGAGGAACACCAGUGGCGAAGGCGGCUUUCUGGUCUGCAACUGACGCUGAUGUGCGAAAGCGUGGGGAUCAAACAGGAUUAGAUACCCUGGUAGUCCACGCCGUAAACGAUGAGUGCUAAGUGUUAGGGGGUUUCCGCCCCUUAGUGCUGCAGCUAACGCAUUAAGCACUCCGCCU